UACGGAGGUCCCGAGUGUUGUCCGGAUUUAUUGGGCGUAAAGCGAGCGCAGGUGGUUUAUUAAGUCUGGUGUAAAAGGCAGUGGCUCAACCAUUGUAUGCAUUGGAAACUGGUAGACUUGAGUGCAGGAGAGGAGAGUGGAAUUCCAUGUGUAGCGGUGAAAUGCGUAGAUAUAUGGAGGAACACCGGUGGCGAAAGCGGCUCUCUGGCCUGUAACUGACACUGAGGCUCGAAAGCGUGGGGAGCAAACAGG
This 252-nucleotide ribosomal RNA is filed under the name uncultured bacterium. RNAcentral's name for it is "partial 16S ribosomal RNA". It matches the Rfam family "Bacterial small subunit ribosomal RNA", at positions 524 to 776 of the family's 1533-position model. The record is from RNAcentral.